UUUUUUUUUUAAAAUUUUUUUUCUAAUAAAAUUAUCAAAUGUGUUGUUUGGGUUUGUUUUACUUUCUAACAAGUUCUCAAAGUGCUAACUGAAUGGUGCAGUCCAUAUUCAUUUUACAAUGCGUGAUUGAAAAAAAGAGGUUUUAUAGAGCGAUUUACAUUUCAGUGUAUUGUCCUAAUCAUUAGAUGGUUAACUUUGGCUU
RNAcentral lists this unclassified non-coding RNA (202 nucleotides) under Hevea brasiliensis (rubber tree). Lineage: Eukaryota; Viridiplantae; Streptophyta; Magnoliopsida; Malpighiales; Euphorbiaceae. The record is from RNAcentral.